GUUGAUCAACCAAACAUACUACUUUUCUUGGUGAAAAUACUGCAAUAGAAUGGCAUGAAGGCAAUAUAUAUACCUCAGAUCCAUGAAACUUCCUGAUUUGUUGAUAUGGGGAGGGAGAACAAUUCUACAUUCUAGUGGGUAAAUCUGCGGCUAAAGAAACAUAUAUCCAGCAUUUCUUGAAUGCCUGAUUUGUGAAGUUGAGAUAGAAUAGGCUGCUGCUAAAAGAAACAGCAACACAGUACAAAGAAAUGUCAAAAUGCUCAACAUUUUAAGUAUUCCAAAGGCCAAGACCAAAUCAAGCUUUUGUGUGAGGAAAAUCACAAUCUAGAUGUCUGUGUGGCUACACGAACAUUGGAUUUUAAAUCUGGAUGACCCACUGCUUUUAUAAGGACAAAAUUGAAAACGCGGUGCGAUUAAUAUCCAUUAACAAACAACUCCAGUCCCAAAUCGAACGAAUCACUGCUGCCGGAGUCUAGUUCUCCUCUAGGAUUGGUCGUUGGAGGCUCUGCUUCUCUGAAUGAACCCGGGGCGUUUGGGCAAUUUUUUAAAGUUCAUUUCUCAUCACAGACCCAGCAGAGUGAGAUGUCAAAAGGAAAGACAUUUCGAGUCCAACUCUUGUCUGAACAACGUUCGUGUAGCCAUAUGCCAACCAUCUUUCCUCGCAAAUAAGUCUCACCAAAUUCAGUGGGCCUAAUAAACGUAUUGACUUGGGCGGAGCUAUUGACAACAGUGGGGCUUGCUUCCGAGUAGACAUGCAUAGGAUCUGGCUGCGCGAUGCGGGCUUGGUUUGCCGCUUUAACCCAUUAAAAGUCGGACGUUGGGGAGCCUAUCAUGUGUACUAAUUCUUUUGAUUUAUUCCGUUUCUGUUGCUUGCCAACGCUAUGGCUUCCUUUUAUUGCUCUUCCGUGAUGACAAAGGUCCGCUACUCAUACAUGCAAACACCCAGAUUUAUUUAGGAACUGAAGUAGACUGGAGAUAGCCUCGUAGGCGCGGUGGUUAGACUCAGCCAACGGUAAUCUACCACUGUCAAUGUGACUGCCUAAUUUUGUGUAAAUCGCAGGGCCAGACCGCAGCCUUCCCAGCGCUGGGGGCGGAUACAGCCCUGAUGGUCUGUUUUGAAGAAGUAAAAGUCUUGUCGCACCUUGAAGCCUUAAUAGGCUUAAUAGGCACAAGCUUUGGUACACCGGAGGCCACUUGAUCAGACGCAACUGAUGAAAUUAACCCUCUCAUUCUAAACACGCCGAAGAAUACAUGCGUUAGACCUUACGGUGCUACAAGAGGCCUUGGUGUUUUCCAUCCAACCUACGUAUAGGCUUGCUUCCUGUUGCAAAAUAAGGGCGAACGGACUGGAGUCAAGGUCAGUCUGCCCGGCAACUAAAACAGAAGUCGUAUUUACCGUGUAUGGAUCAGAUUCUCUUCCGCCACCCCGUAGAUUUCCAAGCAGAUUGAUACUUAUUCUGUUCUUUUGCUUGAUUUGGGGGGAAGGGGCAAACGAGCCACGAGCGAAGGCACCUACUUGGCAGGGACCAAAAGAGCAGCUCUUGGUUAGCUCCUCCAUGGCUGCCCGAUCUGAAAUGCAGGCCUAGAAAUCUUGAGGAUUUACUUCUAAGCAAAUGCGUUUGGGAUGGGAUCUUCUUUGCCGGUGAUGUUGCAGCCGUGUGUCUCCCCCACUGACUUGUUGCCGGGUUUGAAGCUGGCGGGUGAGGGGGAGGUCGCGGAGGUGCCAGGGAAGUGGCGGGGGUGAUUGUUUUCCUAGACUGUAGAGGCCCUCGCCCUGCCCCAAUUUCACCCCCAGUCAAAACAACAUGUUUAAGACCACUAACAGGAGGAAUUCGCGCCACGUCCUAGUAACGCGUAGGUUCUUUUGAUUGGCUCUCUGCCCUUUAGUUCCCCUCCCCCGCCCUCAGCCGAACUUUAAGCUUCUGUGUACAUAGAAACGGGCCUCGGAAGGAGAAAGUGGUCGAGACGAAGUAACAUCAGCGAGAUUCUAGAGUUCACUCAUUUGAGAAGACAAAUGAGAUAAGGCGAUGUUGUUAGUCAGUCUGGACAAACGCGAUUAGAUAGAGGUAGGUAGAUCCGAUAAUCUGAAACUAAAAUAACUAAAACGCUCAUCUUCAGUGCCUCUUCAUUCCACUGAUUUCAAAGGAACCAGCUCUAAGAGCAAUCGUGCAGCCCCAUAGGCUGGUCGAGAGGUAAAUUUACCGCUGGUGAGAGGUAAAUUUACCGCUGGUCGAGAGGUAAAUGCCGCUGAAUUCUUGGGACUUCCUUCCUUCUGGUAACGGUAAGGGCUGCCAAACAUAUUUUACUGAGUAAAGGGGAGGUGAUCUACACAUCCAAGAAUGCUCACUGGAGUUUUGGAAUGGAUUUCAGAAUGAGAUGCGAGUUUCGCAUCCUAUGGAAGAUAACACGGAAGAACUCGGAAAACCUGUGCGCUUGAUAGAGGCAAAUUUGAUUGCAUGUAUCCAGGGAGAGCACACCCCAGCCUACUUGGAAAUAACUCGCACUGAGUUUAAUGGGUCUUACAUCCGCGUAAAUGUGGACUGAACCAAUUUGCUGCUUAGGAAACAGCCGGUAUUGUGAAGUAGCACAUUGCGGAUGGAAAGGAAGACAGGCAGACACAAACGAAGGGUGGUCAACACCAUAAUUUUUCGGUGGGAAAGGACUAAAGCUCAACUUUUAUAUGUAUUUUCCCAGCGAAUAUUUCGGUGAAAAGCGCGGUCCGUUUGUGGUUAUCUGUGGAGGAAAAGGAUGUGCUAGGUACAAAUUUAUUUUCAGACCGAUUCUAUAUGCAACAUCCCAGAUGAAAGUGUUUUUCCCGCAGGGUGUUAAAGAGACGUCUCGGCGAGCUGUGUGUGUGUGAUGUCCUAUAAUAAGACCUAAUAAAACUUUCUGAAAGAAAAGCGCUUAGAAAGUCUGGAUAGCUUUCGCUGAGUAAUCUCUGCCUGUCAAGCGCUGGAGGCGGGGUCCUGCCCUGGUCCCUGGACUUGUUGUCUCAGCCGAAAAGAAGUGGGUCAGUGGAGCACAUGACAAGCCCCGACUCCACCACUGAAACAUACAAAAGAGACAGAGGCAGACGGACAGACAAAGCCAGAUUCACAGCUUUAGGAGAAAACCAAACUGUUGGAUUUAAAACCAGGUUCUUUCAGCUAGCACAGUGGGCAGUUGUUGGUCAAGCUGACAUGGACCUUAUUCACAAUCAAGCCAGCAACACAUCCUAAUCCCCGUCUUUAUGUACUCUGGUAGCAACUGGGAUAAUGGACGGUGCACCAUCCCGAUACCGAUCCUUGAUUACUCGGAAGUAAGCAGUACUGGUUUUAAUAGGGUUUGCUUCCAAGUAAAAAUGCCUAGGAGGAUUGCUUUAAUCAUGGUUAGUCUAGAAAAGGCAUGUUCAUCUACCCACACGAUCAUAUAGGCCCUCUACUACCAGCAAUGCCCUUCAAAGGUUUAUACUACAGGGACAAACAGAGCCUCCUCUAGCCAAGGAGGCUGGGAGGCUGCAGAGCUUACGGGCUCCUGAAUCAGUCAGAUGGUGCUGAAUAAGAUGGGGCUUUCGCUAGAACCAGGAACGGGCCGUGUCUUUCAUUUUGGCUGCUCAUUCCCGUCUUGACGUUUAGUGAUUCACUUGGUUGUCCACU
Long non-coding RNA from Rhineura floridana, 3635 nucleotides. RefSeq lists it as uncharacterized. Lineage: Eukaryota; Metazoa; Chordata; Lepidosauria; Squamata; Rhineuridae. The transcript is spliced from 4 exons. The record is from RefSeq and is a predicted model, not a curated record.